RNAcentral lists this ribosomal RNA (751 nucleotides) under Vibrio diabolicus. RNAcentral describes it as "partial 23S ribosomal RNA". It matches the Rfam family "Bacterial large subunit ribosomal RNA", at positions 2180 to 2925 of the family's 2925-position model. The record is from RNAcentral. Lineage: Bacteria; Pseudomonadati; Pseudomonadota; Gammaproteobacteria; Vibrionales; Vibrionaceae.
GUGGAGCCGUCCUUGAAAUACCACCCUUGUAGUGUUGAUGUUCUAACGUCGACCCCUUAUCGGGGUUGCGGACAGUGCCUGGUGGGUAGUUUGACUGGGGCGGUCUCCUCCCAAAGCGUAACGGAGGAGCACGAAGGUGGGCUAAUCACGGUUGGACAUCGUGAGGUUAGUGCAAUGGCAUAAGCCCGCUUGACUGCGAGAAUGACAAUUCGAGCAGGUGCGAAAGCAGGUCAUAGUGAUCCGGUGGUUCUGAAUGGAAGGGCCAUCGCUCAACGGAUAAAAGGUACUCCGGGGAUAACAGGCUGAUACCGCCCAAGAGUUCAUAUCGACGGCGGUGUUUGGCACCUCGAUGUCGGCUCAUCACAUCCUGGGGCUGAAGUCGGUCCCAAGGGUAUGGCUGUUCGCCAUUUAAAGUGGUACGCGAGCUGGGUUUAGAACGUCGUGAGACAGUUCGGUCCCUAUCUGCCGUGGGCGUUGGAGAAUUGAAAGGGGCUGCUCCUAGUACGAGAGGACCGGAGUGGACGAACCUCUGGUGUUCGGGUUGUGUCGCCAGACGCAUUGCCCGGUAGCUAAGUUCGGGAUCGAUAACCGCUGAAAGCAUCUAAGCGGGAAGCGAGCCUUGAGAUGAGUUCUCCCUGAUACUUUAAGUAUCCUAAAGGGUUGUCGUAGACUACGACGUUGAUAGGCAGGGUGUGUAAGCGUUGUGAGGCGUUGAGCUAACCUGUACUAAUUGCCCGUGAGGCUUAACCAU